UUGAACGCUGGCGGCAGGCCUAACACAUGCAAGUCGAGCGGAUGAAGGGAGCUUGCUCCUGGAUUCAGCGGCGGACGGGUGAGUAAUGCCUAGGAAUCUGCCUGGUAGUGGGGGAUAACGUCCGGAAACGGGCGCUAAUACCGCAUACGUCCUGAGGGAGAAAGUGGGGGAUCUUCGGACCUCACGCUAUCAGAUGAGCCUAGGUCGGAUUAGCUAGUUGGUGGGGUAAAGGCCUACCAAGGCGACGAUCCGUAACUGGUCUGAGAGGAUGGUCAGUCACACUGGAACUGAGACACGGUCCAGACUCCUACGGGAGGCAGCAGUGGGGAAUAUUGGACAAUGGGCGAAAGCCUGAUCCAGCCAUGCCGCGUGUGUGAAGAAGGUCUUCGGAUUGUAAAGCACUUUAAGUUGGGAGGAAGGGCAGUAAGUUAAUACCUUGCUGUUUUGACGUUACCAACAGAAUAAGCACCGGCUAACUUCGUG
Molecule: ribosomal RNA, 483 nt
Filed under: uncultured bacterium
Lineage: Bacteria
Description: partial 16S ribosomal RNA
Rfam family: Bacterial small subunit ribosomal RNA
Source: RNAcentral